RNAcentral lists this ribosomal RNA (253 nucleotides) under uncultured bacterium. RNAcentral describes it as "partial 16S ribosomal RNA". It matches the Rfam family "Bacterial small subunit ribosomal RNA", at positions 524 to 776 of the family's 1533-position model. The record is from RNAcentral.
UACGGAGGAUGCAAGCGUUAUCCGGAAUGAUUGGGCAUAAAGCGUCCGCAGGUGGCUGUGUAAGUCUGCUGUCAAAGAGCAAAGCUCAACUUUGUAAAGGCAGUGGAAACUACACGGCUAGAGUGCGUUCGGGGCAGAGGGAAUUCCUGGUGUAGCGGUGAAAUGCGUAGAGAUCAGGAAGAACACCGGUGGCGAAGGCGCUCUGCUAGGCCGCAACUGACACUGAGGGACGAAAGCUAGGGGAGCGAAUGGG